UGGGGAAUAUUGCACAAUGGAGGGAACUCUGAUGCAGCGACGCCGCGUGAACGAAGAAGGCUUUCGAGUCGUAAAGUUCUUUUAUAUGGGAAGAUAAUGACGGUACCAUAAGAAAAAGCCCCGGCUAACUACGUGCCAGCAGCCGCGGUAAUACGUAGGGGGCUAGCGUUGUCCGGAAUCACUGGGCGUAAAGGGUUCGCAGGCGGAAAUGCAAGUCAGGUGUAAAAGGCAGUAGCUUAUCUACUGUAAGCAUUUGAAACUGCAUAUCUUGAGAAGAGUAGAGGUAAGUGGAAUUUUUAGUGUAGCGGUGAAAUGCGUAGAUAUUAAAAAGAAUACCGGUGGCGAAGGCGGCUUACUGGGCUCAUUCUGACGCUGAGGAACGAAAGCGUGGGUAGCAAACAGG
Molecule: ribosomal RNA, 403 nt
Filed under: bacterium
Lineage: Bacteria
Description: partial 16S ribosomal RNA
Rfam family: Bacterial small subunit ribosomal RNA
Source: RNAcentral